Molecule: long non-coding RNA, 3707 nt
Organism: Schistocerca americana (American grasshopper)
Lineage: Eukaryota; Metazoa; Arthropoda; Insecta; Orthoptera; Acrididae
Exons: 4
Source: RefSeq, a predicted model, not a curated record
CAGCAGUAGGCGAUACUGGACUUGUCUGACCUCGCCUGCCUCUCACAGGCGGCAGCCGGGAGUCCCAACAGUGAAACUACUAUGGCGUGUUUGUUGCACAUUAAGCUAACAGAAUAUCAUAGAUAAAAUUUUAGCACGAGUAAUUAUGACCGUGAGAAAAUUACGAUCAUUCUUUAUUGAACAGCUCUCGUAUAUCGCACUUGUGUGAAGUACCAUUUUUCUGAAGCUGGUGCUUGCAAUAUUUUCCCAUUUACUUUUAAGGCUUAUUCAGUGCUCAAUUUUCCUGAAUAUAUUGUUCCACAACGGCUGUUCAAAUCAGCACCUGUAACCUGCGGCAAAGCUGCUGCUGCAGUUUGACGUGAGAGGCUCUAGGGAGGCCAUGCCGACAUGAGGGAAGUCUCCGUCCCGGCUCUAGAGUGAGGCUGGUUACCGCAAGUCCGACCCCCGUUCCUAUUUCUGCCAGUGUAACACUGCUGACAUGGCACAGUACGAAGGCCAGCCUUUCGCAGUGGUGACCCAGAUUGCGCCGUGUCGGAGUCCAGCGCGCACCACUUCUCGAGUCUGCGAAAUCAGAAACAGUGUCCCGUCACGUCGGGGCCGAGUCCAGCAACCGUAAAUACUGCUCGCCCCACUCGUGCGGCGUCUGUAAUCGUCUGCAGCCAGCUCAGAGACACACCACGGUAGUUGUCGACCUGAAAGGAGUUGUCUGGCCCACUGCUACUAGAGGUCACUUCCGCUAACUGUGGGCGUGUGCUCAGUCUCGGUGCUGCCCUAGUCCCGAUGCUGCUGGGAAUCGAAUAAGUGCCUUCCAGGUGGAGACUGUCUGCCGGCCGACUGACGUUGGUGCCAUAUCCUACGCCGGAGUCCACGGUUCGUCUGUGCACUCGGCUGCUCCCUGCACUAGGCCCAUUUGAGGCUGUUAACUGGUCACACACCUGUGAUGACCGGAGUGACCACCUUAGAAGAGAGGCCAGCAUCACUGUGUGCCUGCCACCUGCCCAGACCGGCGUCGCUCUACACUCGCCGAGGUGCCGUCAUCGUUUCUUCGGUCGCUGCCCGUGCGGCUGGUGACUCGAUCCUGCCGGCGCUUGCUACUGUCACUCGCCGAGUUAAGCACGCACCUCUGUCCGGAGCCGGUCUGCUCCGCCGGGUACCGACCUCUGUGAGGUGAUGUUUUCACUGCUGUACGACGUGUAAUGAAUAAAUUAGCUGUCACUCUCUCACAGCUUCUACGACUUUUCGAUAGCUGUCCAUCUGUGUCCACGCGCCUGCAGCCUGACCAGAAAUCCUGCAUUGUCACCGACACGUGAGCUGUCACGACACCGCAGUAAUAUUUGUUACUCACUGUAGCUGCAGUGCUCACUAGUUAAUCCUAUAAGAAAAUGAGGUUGACACAAAAUUAGACAAAACCCCUAAUCUUCAGGUCAACACAGUGAGAGAUACUUAAAAAUGCAAAGCAUGCUGUACAGACCAUCCAGACUAGUUGGUUUACACAAUCAUUACUUUUUGACUUAUUAUCAAAUUAGACCCUUAGAAAUUUUGCGCUCAUUAUUUGUUUGUGUGUGACUGUUAAUAUUUCUCAACUGAAAAGUCAUUCGUGGUUAGUAAAACGAGUGAACUUGAAGUGAACUGUGCAAUUUACAGCCACAACACUUGGAGUAAAAAAACUUUCCCUGUCUUGGUUUCUGAAUGGUGUUUUAUAUUUUGAUGCAAAAGUAUACAACAUCUGAUAAUGGCAGACAGGAAAUCAAAAUUUCCAGAUUUUUAAAACCAAAGUUAAAAAGUGUCUCAUCAACCAUUCCUGCAAUUUAUGUCCAUAUAUGCACUUGAAGAUGUAAAUUUUGAAUGUCUGUUUGCACCUGACAUUUCUAGACUUUUCCAGUAGGGCUAUAUAGUGAGCCAAUAGUAGUCCAUCUAAAGUUACAACAGUGUUUGAACGCAGCUGGGUGGUAGUGGAAAAGCAGUGCCUUUUUUUACCCAAAUUAAUUCCUUUAUUCUCCUGAUGCAAGCAGACAUUUGUAAAGUAAUUUCUGUGAUUGUGGGUAGGUUAUCACCAGUCAUAAUUUGUUGUUAGUAUCCUUUACAGAAGUAGCUUACUGCAGCUGUUACUGCCCACUAAUAAUUUGACUUACUGCACUACCUGUAAUGCUUCUCACAAUGGAUUUACAAAGCACAACAUGUGAAUGAAUAUUAGUCUAUGUGACAUUAGAACUUAAAGAAUGUCUUUCAAUUUCAGAGAAGCCUAUAAGCAACAUUAUUUAUUACGAAACGAGUUUAACAUGUCGACUGCAGUGCAUCCCCUGGCGGCGCAGCAGAGGUGCCUGCUGUGGCCACUGGCGGCCACACGGCAGUUAACGUGUCAAUUCUCACACAGCUUGUCCGAUACAAUUGUUUUCUUUCUUUCAGAAAUGAAUGUUCCAUCAAUCAACCAGCUAUUACUGAGAAUUACAUAUUUCAGUUCUGGUGAUUGCCUUCUGUCCAUUGGGGACUGCUGACAGGAUUAUUGUAUACCUUGGGAUACAUUAAAUUUCUGAACACAUAUGAGGACUUUGCUGGAACACAGGAGUCUGUGGUGCCAUAGAUUGCAUACAACUUUGACCAGCCGCAAAGUAUCUCGGGCAAAUAGUUUUGGGACCUGGAUCGCUUAGCGCUCAUUUCAGACGAGCUGUUUCUGUAGACGGUGACUAGAUAAAAUUAAUGACAUGCACAAAAAUACACAGCAUGGAUGGGAACCAGGGAAUAAAAUGCUGUCAUAUGGUGCACCUCCUAUAACUACCAUAGUUGGUGUGUUCCUCAGUUAGCUAUCUGGGAUUUAUCCGCUGAUUGUGCAGCUGACCCUAAGUGCAGGUGAGCAGUGCAAAAGGUGAUGGAGAAACAUCUGAGAUCAUUUUAGGAGAUACGGAAACUAGAAAGGUCUGCGACAAGUGGAUCAGUAGCCACGAAGAAAAGAGCUGUGUACCGGGACAGGCUUCAAUUCCUUAAUAGCAUGGAGGUUGAAAAGAAAAUGUUUUCCUAACAGUGUGCUACAGGAACUCGUUAAGGAAAGACUUGAAGAUCGACAGACUUCUUCCAAAUUUAUCGACUGAGGACGAAACUGGUUUGUUCCUCAAAUCCAUGGCAGCAACAGUAAAAAAAUUUAGACCCAACCUUAUUUGCAAAGCCAAAAAACAGAUUUGAAAUACUGUGAUGGACAUAUAAACCAUAAAUCAGAGAGAUCAAGGAUAUGGCAACAACUCCACAUUUUGGAACGCAAACAGCAGCCAUCCUGCUUCUAUCCAAAGUGCUGACAGUGAGCAAGGACCUAGGAACUAUGACAAUACUGUUACUGCUGCAAACUUUGAUACCUAUAAAACACAUCGCAAAUCCAGUACCACACCAGAACGACUACAGUAUUGCACAAUCAAACAUUCUCUGCCACCACCCUCUAUUUUCUGGGAUGGUUACUAAGGGUAGGCCAUGGCCAGUAGCCUAGUUCAUUAUAUUAUAUUUUACCAUUUGUGCCAAAUUUCUGCGUCUGGUUACAUAAACGUUAUGGAACUGUCAGUAGUAGUAUCAUAGAUACACUUUAAGAAAAUGAAAUGAGUUGCACUCCGCUGUGAAAACCCACUGUCAUAAAAGGUUUUUUUUUUGAAGUGGAUGACAAUUGUAUGUUGUGUGUUGGAGUAAUUGUUGUAACAAAUGUGAUUUUUUUAAUAUGACAUGUUAAA